GUGGGGAAUAUUGGACAAUGGGCGGAAGCCUGAUCCAGCCAUGCCGCGUGUGUGAAGAAGGCCUUUUGGUUGUAAAGCACUUUAAGCGAGGAGGAGGCUCCUUUAGUUAAUACCUAAAGUGAGUGGACGUUACUCGCAGAAUAAGCACCGGCUAACUCUGUGCCAGCAGCCGCGGUAAUACAGAGGGUGCGAGCGUUAAUCGGAUUUACUGGGCGUAAAGCGUGCGUAGGCGGCUUUUUAAGUCGGAUGUGAAAUCCCUGAGCUUAACUUAGGAAUUGCAUUCGAUACUGGAAAGCUAGAGUAUGGGAGAGGAUGGUAGAAUUCCAGGUGUAGCGGUGGAAUGCGUAGAGAUCUGGAGGAAUACCGAUGGCGAAGGCGACUCACUGGCCCGUUACUGACGCUGAGGCGCGAAAGCGUGGGGAGCAAACAGGAUUAGAUACCCUAGUAGUCC
This 451-nucleotide ribosomal RNA is filed under the name uncultured bacterium. RNAcentral's name for it is "partial 16S ribosomal RNA". It matches the Rfam family "Bacterial small subunit ribosomal RNA", at positions 354 to 796 of the family's 1533-position model. The record is from RNAcentral.